UUGAGCCGGAUGAAAGGAAACUUUCACGUCCGGUUUUGAAGGGGGGGAUAUCCUAUAUAGGAUCCUAUCCCGAU
Molecule: non-coding RNA, 74 nt
Organism: Daucus carota subsp. sativus
Lineage: Eukaryota; Viridiplantae; Streptophyta; Magnoliopsida; Apiales; Apiaceae
Source: Rfam